CCCUCCCUCUUUCUUCAUGCCUAACACAUGCAAGUCGAACGAGACCUUCGGGUCUAGUGGCGCACGGGUGCGUAACGCGUGGGAACCUGCCCUUAGGUUCGGAAUAACUCCCCGAAAGGGGUGCUAAUACCGGAUAAUGUCUUCGGACCAAAGAUCUAUCGCCUUUGGAUGGGCCCGCGUUGGAUUAGCUAGUUGGUAGGGUAAAAGCCUACCAAGGCGACGAUCCAUAGCUGGUCUGAGAGGAUGAUCAGCCACACUGGGACUGAGACACGGCCCAGACUCCUACGGGAGGCAGCAGUGGGGAAUAUUGGACAAUGGGCGAAAGCCUGAUCCAGCAAUGCCGCGUGAGUGAUGAAGGCCUUAGGGUUGUAAAGCUCUUUUACCCGGGAUGAUAAUGACAGUACCGGGAGAAUAAGCGCCGGCUAACUCCGUG
RNAcentral lists this ribosomal RNA (433 nucleotides) under uncultured bacterium. Its description in RNAcentral is "partial 16S ribosomal RNA". It matches the Rfam family "Bacterial small subunit ribosomal RNA", at positions 36 to 507 of the family's 1533-position model. The record is from RNAcentral.